GACGAACGCUGGCGGCGUGCUUAACACAUGCAAGUCGAACGGAAAGGCCCUGCUUGCAGGGUACUCGAGUGGCGAACGGGUGAGUAACACGUGGGUGAUCUGCCCUGCACUUCGGGAUAAGCCUGGGAAACUGGGUCUAAUACCGGAUAGGAGCCAUUUUUAGUGUGAUGGUUGGAAAGUUUUUUCGGUGUAGGAUGAGCUCGCGGCCUAUCAGCUUGUUGGUGGGGUAAUGGCCUACCAAGGCGGCGACGGGUAGCCGGCCUGAGAGGGUGGACGGCCACAUUGGGACUGAGAUACGGCCCAGACUCCUACGGGAGGCAGCAGUGGGGAAUAUAGCACAAUGGGCGCAAGCCUGAUGCAGCGACGCCGCGUGGGGGAUGACGGCCUUCGGGUUGUAAACUCCUUUCGCUAGGGACGAAGCUUUUUGUGACGGUACCUAGAUAAGAAGCACCGGCUAACUACGUG
RNAcentral lists this ribosomal RNA (465 nucleotides) under uncultured bacterium. Its description in RNAcentral is "partial 16S ribosomal RNA". It matches the Rfam family "Bacterial small subunit ribosomal RNA", at positions 28 to 507 of the family's 1533-position model. The record is from RNAcentral.